GACGAACGCUGGCGGCGUGCUUAACACAUGCCAGUCGAACGGAAAGGCCCUGCUUGCAGGGUACUCGAGUGGCGAACGGGUGAGUAACACGUGGGUGAUCUGCCCUGCACUUCGGGAUAAGUCUGGGAAACUGGGUCUAAUACCGGAUAGGAGCCAUCUUUAGUGUGAUGGUUGGAAAGUUUUUUCGGUGUAGGAUGAGCUCGCGGCCUAUCAGCUUGUUGGUGGGGUAAUGGCCUACCAAGGCGGCGACGGGUAGCCGGCCUGAGAGGGUGGACGGCCACAUUGGGACUGAGAUACGGCCCAGACGCCUACGGGAGGCAGCAGUGGGGAAUAUUGCACAAGGGGCGCAAGCCUGAUGCAGCGACGCCGCGUGGGGGAGGACGGCCUUCGGGUUGUAAACUCCUUUCGCUAGGGACGAAGCUUUUUGUGACGGUACCUAGAGAAGAAGCACCGGCUAACUACGUG
Molecule: ribosomal RNA, 465 nt
Filed under: uncultured bacterium
Lineage: Bacteria
Description: partial 16S ribosomal RNA
Rfam family: Bacterial small subunit ribosomal RNA
Source: RNAcentral